AUUGAACGCUGGCGGCAGGCCUAACACAUGCAAGUCGAACGGUAACAGGGAUCAGCUUGCUGAUUCGCUGACGAGUGGCGGACGGGUGAGUAAUGUCUGGGAAACUGCCUGAUGGAGGGGGAUAACUACUGGAAACGGUAGCUAAUACCGCAUAACGUCGCAAGACCAAAGAGGGGGACCUUCGGGCCUCUUGCCAUCGGAUGUGCCCAGAUGGGAUUAGCUAGUAGGUGGGGUAACGGCUCACCUAGGCGACGAUCCCUAGCUGGUCUGAGAGGAUGACCAGCCACACUGGAACUGAGACACGGUCCAGACUCCUACGGGAGGCAGCAGUGGGGAAUAUUGCACAAUGGGCGCAAGCCUGAUGCAGCCAUGCCGCGUGUAUGAAGAAGGCCUUCGGGUUGUAAAGUACUUUCAGCGGGGAGGAAGGGAGUAAAGUUAAUACCUGUGCUCAUUGACGUUACCCGAAGAAGAAGCACCGGCUAACUCCGUG
Molecule: ribosomal RNA, 490 nt
Filed under: uncultured bacterium
Lineage: Bacteria
Description: partial 16S ribosomal RNA
Rfam family: Bacterial small subunit ribosomal RNA
Source: RNAcentral